Long non-coding RNA from Drosophila santomea, 474 nucleotides. RefSeq lists it as uncharacterized. NCBI's taxonomy places the organism in Eukaryota, Metazoa, Arthropoda, Insecta, Diptera, Drosophilidae. The record is from RefSeq and is a predicted model, not a curated record. The transcript has 2 exons.
AAAGCUCAAGCGGUACUAACUGCCGUCCCCCGUUUUUUACCCUAUUUUGUAGGUUUUGAUGCACUCGCAGUCGCAGCGCAGUCGCGGCGCAGCAGCAGCGCAUUUCGAAUGCGAGGCGAAGCAGCGCGGCAAAGAAGAAGUUAUCAUCUCUCGCUCACCGCGCUUUGCUCAUUAUUCGCAUUUAUGCUUUCCCGGCGGCCACUGCAAGUGCACUCAAAAUCCAACGGCCAACUCGACCGAUCCACCGUUCUUACACUCAUAAAAAUUAAAGCUUUCAUAUAAAAAACAUUUUUGGAAAUAUUUAUUCAAUAAUAUUUGCCCAUGAAUGGAUAGUAUUCAAAAGAACUAAGUUGCAAAAAGCUCAAAAAGGUAAAACAAGUAGUGGCAGUCCAAUAAUGUUCCAUGUAAACGUACCAAUAUCUUUACUAUAAUGCAGAUAAUAAUAAUAAAUAAUAAUUUAACAUUUUGAAGAGA